This is a long non-coding RNA of Myripristis murdjan (pinecone soldierfish), 91 nucleotides long. RefSeq lists it as uncharacterized. Lineage: Eukaryota; Metazoa; Chordata; Actinopteri; Holocentriformes; Holocentridae. The record is from RefSeq and is a predicted model, not a curated record. The transcript is spliced from 3 exons.
GUCCAGCUCAGAGACACAGAUGAUGUUGUGGUUCCAGUCACAUUCAGAUUCCUGACUACUUCAGGAUCUGUGAGUGCGCUGAACAUGUGAA